Molecule: non-coding RNA, 2746 nt
Organism: Poecilia reticulata (guppy)
Lineage: Eukaryota; Metazoa; Chordata; Actinopteri; Cyprinodontiformes; Poeciliidae
Source: RefSeq, a predicted model, not a curated record
UCAGAUCUCCGCGCAUUAACUCUUGGUUGACUAAGUGGACAAAGCAUUUAGUAUGGUUUGAUGUAUCAUGUAACCGGAAAAAUACUACUAAUAAUAAUAAAAUAAUAUAAAACAAGCGUGAUGUGUGACUGCGAAGCGGCGAGCGCGAAAGCUCCUCACCAGGCUAAACCUGCAUGAUGAGGUUAGCGCUGGUUCAUUAACCACUAACGUUCCGACCAACCAGGAACACAGACAAACUUUAUCAGUGCAGACAGAGCCGGGGUGUUGAAAUGGAAAAGCCGCACAAAAUUCUUUGUCCACAAACAUAAAUCAUUCUCACUGCUCGCUCAACGCACCUCUGAAAGCUCCACUACAAGUUAUUUCUGCGGUUCACGUAGAGAUGCGCAAUCGGAGCUUAAGGUAGGUUUAAACUCCUACCUUAGUCAAAAACUCUGGAAAGAAACAUAAUUACUCACAGGGGGUUGAUGUAAAUAUCCAUACAGGUCAACUUGUGUCCAGUUUGAGUGAAAGGAGUCGCGGGAUCCGUGCUGAGAUAAACUUAAGUCAUCCAGCUGCUGCAGCGCGAGGCAACGUGCAGAGGCGCCAGCGGUGUGAUUGGGCAACCUCGGAGUCUCCAGGACCUGUGUCGAAUAAAAAUCCGUCACUGUAUUGGCCUUCAAAGUUUGAAAUUCUUGGAGGAUCUUCCAAUUGCAAAAGUUAUGAAAGACUAUUUAAAACAUAAGUUUGACAGUUUGUGAAGGAGCAUGGAACAAGCGGACAGAUGGUGACGGGCUCUCUGUCAGACUAUGCAAGCAUUAUGAUUCUGCUCUAGAAGGAGGAUCCUCUGCUUUGUUCUGUACGUUCUGAAGAUUUAGUCCAAUCAGAUUUUUUUUUCUUUAUCAACACUCUAUUAAGCCUUAUUUAAACUUCUUGCAGUUGCUGACAAUUUUUAGUAGGCACUUUUUUUUUAGGAGACUGAAACUUACUUGACUGCAUAUGGCAUUAUUCCCAUAGUAAUAACAUUUACCUUUUAGACAUAUGUUAUCCCAUUGGUGAGAGUUUUGAAAAAUUAAAGCAUGGGCAUGUGGAUUUUGUAUAAUUUUCUUUCUUUUCUUUUUUUUAUAAAAAUAUGGAAGAUGGCUUUUUGUAUUCAACUUAGACAUUGACAGAAGAUACCCAGUCAGAAUGGCCAAAACUCUGAACUGGAACCAGUAUUAACACGGUGCAGCAGGAGUAAAAUCUGAAACCUGCUUAGAGUGUGUGGAGGAAUCUGCAGCAGGAGCAGAGUGGUAGAUGCAGCAAGCUUCAUAUCCACAACAAAAGACUACAAGGCUAUGUAGUAAUUAUUGAUUAAAGGUGUGAAUGAUUCUGACAGUAAUUGUUACAAUCCAAAACAUUUAAAUGCUUGCAGUUUAAAUCGGUACCCCUUCAACUUUUCUGGCAGAUUUGUGGGGGGGGGGUUGUUUGUAUUUAUCAUCCUGAAUCUCAUUUGAAGAACAGUUGGAGGAAACCGUGUAGUCUAAAGUUUCCUCAGGAUUUAGAUUUUUUUUUUUGUGGGGUUAUGCAUGGAGGUAAUGCGUGAUUAUAUCUUACAUUUGGUAGAUGACUCCCUUUAUGACCUCCAUAUGUAUCAGGAGAAUUAAGUUUGGCUCAAAAUAUCUGGUUGGGGUUUCAAAUGAAGACUAACUUAUUUUUUGGGACAUUGUAACAUUUGGACAGUUACUCUGGACACACACACUUCACCAGUAGGUUUUGUCUAUUUUUCUUUAAGUGCUUCACAUCAGAAGACUGCUCCAGACUUUUCAUGGUCUGUGGUAAAUAACCACGCUGCUGCAGACAUGACUGAUUUAAACAGAUCUUAUAGACCGGACUUGUUUUAAAGUAGCAGAGGUCAUCUUCAGUCCGGAUCCUGUUCUGACCAGCUGUCAGCUGAAAGCCCAUCCAGACAGAAAAGGUGAAAGAAAUUAAUUUUAGAUAGUAUACCAUUUAUAACCAAUGCAAAACAAUUCAGUCUGCCUUUUAGAGUUCAGUUGAGGUAAUUUUGAGCUGAAACAUUUGACUGGAUGUGAAAUGUUUUCUUUAGUUCAUAUUUUCUAAUGCUUAAAAAUGCACUUCAUUUUUAUUUUUUAGGUGAGGUCAAACAGAAAUGUGGAUAUUACAUUGAAAGGUUUGCAGUAAAACAGAAUAACAAACUGAACCCUGAUGGCUGAUCAGUGUGGGGGUAUUGGUCCACUUGAUCGGUCUCUGAAUUCCUCUGAGGUGUCAUUAGUGGCAUGUUAAGUGGAAUUUGAAAAGCUCUGAAUGUAUUCAGUGAAUUCACAUAUUAACUUUUAGUGGAUAAGAAAACCAAGUGCAAGUUUUUAAGCUAAUACACAAAUCUGUUAGCUGAAAACGUUUCAUCUACCUUUUUUACGAACUGCAAUACAAAUCAGUUUUAUUUUCAGACAUUGGUGAAAGAGUGUAAUGUGGUAAUUUUUUUUAUUUUUUAAACUUACGAUAUGACCGUUCCAGUGAACCUGCUAUGUCCAUUCCUGUGCCAUGGUGGAAGCACUGUGGAGCUCUCGCCGUUACUCUAAAGCAGUCGUGUUUUCAGGAAAACUGGCCUUCACAGCUACAGUCAGUGUAAAUAUGUUACGGCCUAUUUAUGUAAAAUCUGUUCAAGCAAUAAUCUGGUGUUCCCGACAUUUACAUUUUGGAAAGUCUUGUAACUUCUUUGGUGUGAAUUAAGUAUUUUGUGUGUCAGUUCAUUAAAGUUUCAUUUUGAAUA